RNAcentral lists this long non-coding RNA (1007 nucleotides) under Gallus gallus (chicken). Its description in RNAcentral is "lncRNA (ENSGALG00010025991.1)". The record is from RNAcentral. Lineage: Eukaryota; Metazoa; Chordata; Aves; Galliformes; Phasianidae.
CAUCCCCACAACUGCUGAAAGGAAUAUACUGUGACUACAGGCUUGAAGAGCUCCAUAUGAUUCUAGACAAAAUAACAGCAGAGGAGGAGAAAGGAAUGAAGACCAGAGCAUUUGACUUUCACAGAUGCUGGGGACCGCUCCAGACCAAGAACUGUUGGACUUAGAAAUGGAAAACAGCAUGAGCCACAGCCCACCCAGGACUGCUCCUGCACUACUUUCCUGAGCUUUAGAACUGUGACUGUUCCACAGCUAAAUUCAGCUCUAAAGCCAAGGCUCAUUCCAUUUCUUGACCUUACCCCUCCUGAAGACCUAUGAUGCCUUCUUCACUGUGUCCUGAGGAAGAGGAGUGGGCAGGACUGGAUUCUUCUCAGCUGCUGUGCUUGGGAGACAGGAGGAGCCUGUGGAGGGACUCAAGUUCCAUGGGGCUUUGAGGAGAUGUCAAAGAAGCAACAGAGGCAGCUGUUCCUCUGGAGAAGCAGAAGACUUUUUCUGACAGGAAGAUGUGCUGAAUUUCAGUAUGAACUUGGGUUAUUUUAUUAUUCUAGAACUUUAUGAAAAUACCCUAAGUCACAUUGCUUAAAAAUGCUUUGGGACCAAGAUCUCUCCUGCCAGGAGCAGAGGUCUGUCCCACAGCCAGCAAGCAGCAGGCACAUUUUCUGGGAACAGACCAUGGAUAGAAGAGCAAGAUAUACUGAAUGUCUGAGCUCAAACAUGAAUGCCAGACCAUCAUUGCACUUCUGCACUACUGUUUGUAAAUAAACAAGAGAUCACAGGGGGAAACCCAACAGAUACAAAAAUCUUUCUGAUGGCAGCUGUGUGCAUGCAAAUUCUCUGCUGUCUUGUGUAGACGUUUUUUUUCCUAACAUGCAAGCAAAUGUCCAAAUCCCACCUCUGCUCAAAAGGGAUUGGUGGGGAAAAGCAUUAUUUCUGCAUGAGAAAGGGAAUAGGCGCAUUAACUUUGCUGCUGCAGAAGAAAUGGGAUUGCUGUGGCUGUCCUGGGUGUAAGA